GAUCAUUGUCGAGACCCACCCCGCCAGAACGACCCGCGAAC
RNAcentral lists this ribosomal RNA (41 nucleotides) under Pseudolmedia laevigata. RNAcentral's name for it is "partial 18S ribosomal RNA". Lineage: Eukaryota; Viridiplantae; Streptophyta; Magnoliopsida; Rosales; Moraceae. The record is from RNAcentral. RNAcentral also lists the same sequence under 4 other names.